This 254-nucleotide ribosomal RNA is filed under the name uncultured bacterium. RNAcentral's name for it is "partial 16S ribosomal RNA". It matches the Rfam family "Bacterial small subunit ribosomal RNA", at positions 524 to 776 of the family's 1533-position model. The record is from RNAcentral.
UACGUAGGGUGCGAGCGUUAAUCGGAAUUACUGGGCGUAAAGCGUGCGCAGGCGGUGAUGUAAGACAGGUGUGAAAUCCCCGGGCUUAACCUGGGAACUGCAUUUGUGACUGCAUCGCUGGAGUGCGGCAGAGGGGGAUGGAAUUCCGCGUGUAGCAGUGAAAUGCGUAGAUAUGCGGAGGAACACCGAUGGCGAAGGCAAUCCCCUGGGCCUGCACUGACGCUCAUGCACGAAAGCGUCGGGGAGCAAACAGG